Molecule: ribosomal RNA, 472 nt
Filed under: uncultured bacterium
Lineage: Bacteria
Description: partial 16S ribosomal RNA
Rfam family: Bacterial small subunit ribosomal RNA
Source: RNAcentral
GAUAAACGCUGGCGGCGCACAUAAGACAUGCAAGUUGAACGGACUUAAUCGAAAUAUUUAUAUUUUGAAGCGGUUAGUGGCGGACUGGUGAGUAACGCGUAAGGAACCUGCCUAUUAGAGGGGAAUAACAGUGAGAAAUCAUUGCUAAUACCGCAUAUGCCAUAGAUAUCACAUGAUAACAGUGGGAAAGGAGCAAUCCGCUAAUAGAUGGCCUUGCGUCUGAUUAGAUAGUUGGUGGGGUAACGGCCUACCAAGUCGACGAUCAGUAGCCGGACUGAGAGGUGGGACGGCCACAUUUGGAGUGAGAUACGGCCCAGACUCCUACGGGAGGCAGCAGUGGGGAAUAGUGCGCAAUGGAGGAAACUCUGACGCAGUGACGCCGCGUAUAGGAAGAAGGUUUUCAGAUUGUAAACUAUUGUCGUUAGGGAAGAGAAAGGAGGGUACCAAAGGAGAAAGCUCCGGCUAACUACGU